GAUGAACGCUGGCGGCGUGCCUAAUACAUGCAAGUCGAGCGAACAGACGAGGAGCUUGCUCCUCUGACGUUAGCGGCGGACGGGUGAGUAACACGUGGAUAACCUACCUAUAAGACUGGGAUAACUUCGGGAAACCGGAGCUAAUACCGGAUAAUAUAUUGAACCACAUGGUUCAAUAGUAAAAGACGGUUUUGCUGUAACUUAUAGAUGGAUCCGCGCCGCAUUAGCUAGUUGGUAAGGUAACAGCUUACCAAGGCAACGAUGCGUAGCCGACCUGAGAGGGUGAUCGGCCACACUGGAACUUAGACACGGUCCAGACUCCUACGGGAGGCAGCAGUAGGGAAUCUUCCGCAAUGGGCGAAAGCCUGGCGGAGCAACGCCGCGUGAGUGAUGAAGGUCUUCGGAUCGUAAAACUCUGUUAUUAGGGAAGAACAAAUGUGUAAGUAACUAUGCACGUCUUGACGGUACCUAAUCAGAAAGCCACGGCUAACUACGUG
RNAcentral lists this ribosomal RNA (497 nucleotides) under uncultured bacterium. RNAcentral describes it as "partial 16S ribosomal RNA". It matches the Rfam family "Bacterial small subunit ribosomal RNA", at positions 28 to 507 of the family's 1533-position model. The record is from RNAcentral.